This is a long non-coding RNA of Cyprinus carpio carpio, 2178 nucleotides long. NCBI's taxonomy places the organism in Eukaryota, Metazoa, Chordata, Actinopteri, Cypriniformes, Cyprinidae. The record is from Ensembl.
AAUUUGAUUUUUUAUUUUCAUGUAACUUUUUAUAAUUAAUAAAUACAAAUAUUUCAAUAGUUUUUUGCCAGUCUUGGAUAAAAUAUUCCUUUCAGCAUGAAUAGUAUACAAAAUACAACCCAGAUUUUUUUCUUUCUCAAAAAAUGUAUUAUUAAUUAUUAUUAUUAUUAUUUUUAUUUUUAUUAUUAUUGUGGCAUUUCAUGUAAUACAUUUUUAACUGUUUUAAAAAAUAUUACAAUUAUUAUUUAAUUAAACUAAUUAAACAGAGAAAAUGUAUUACAUAAAAAAAAUAAUAAAAACUUGAUUUACAUUACAAGCUGUCAUAUUUUUAUCUUACUUUUUGGCCAGGUAAAUAUGAGUAACUGCACCAAACUGGAACCAAAUUUUAAUUACGAAUUAAUUAAACGUUUUAUAAAAAUAAAACUAUUUGUUAGCAUCUGUUUGGCAACAUUAGAACUAUUGUUAUCAAUUAAAUAAAACAUCCAUUUAAUGCUGUGAGUCAAGACUCAAGUUUAAGCUCAGAUAUAUAAGUUGUACAGUCUGACUUGACGUUUAUUGCACAAUCUGACAGGAAAAAGUUGUACCGCGUGCACUCGGCUUACAAUGGUAUGGUAUAGCCAUAAUCUGAACACUUAAUAAGCUCAAACUCUUGCUGUUUUCCAGGGGUUCCUUUUUAUUAUUUUAAUCAUGCGUCACAGAAAAUUCAGGUAUUUUAUAAAUGACGUGUUUGGUGCGAGAAAUGUCCUGUUUGCUGAAGAGAAUCCGUAUGCGUGCAUGCAGUAAAUGACGACCCGUCACCAACGCACAUAACAUGAACACUUGACAUUAUCCUCUGCUGUAUCACGCCGUGGAAUGCAUCACUUCCUCCCGAUGAUGGCCAAUGAAGGUUUACACUCUAGAGCUGCAUGCAUGAGUGAGAGAAAUCACAUCACCACGAAUGACAGAUCAAACAAUUGUUGUACAUUUGAAAUUGAUUUUUAUAGACACAUGGCAGAAUUCAGGUAAACGGCGUCACGCACCUGGAUUGGAAUAUUUGUAAUAGUGAAAUGAUCAAAAGUGAGGUGAAAACAAACCUGAUGACACCGAUCCGGCAGAGCUCAUGUAAAAACUAAUAACCAAUGAUCCGUUUUGAAUAGCCGAUAUAACUGUACAAUAACCAAGCUAUAGAUCUAUAGAGUAAAUGACUCGAUAAGACAAACAAAUAAACUGUCUAAAUGACCGUCAUGGGCUGCGAUUUCUGUUGUAGAAAUGAACAAUUGGUGUGUUUUCUGCGUCCUCUGAUCUCUUCUGUGUAUGUUUCUUGUAGAAUGACUUGUAAAAUGAACACAAUAUUAUAAAUUGUUUUACAGCUGUGUAUUAAAAGAAAACGAAUAAAAAAAAAAAAAUUGAAAAGCAUUUUAAAAACUUUCUGAUGGCCAAGGUCAUAAUUGCACUGUAGUUGGAACACUGGUAACUUGACUUCUGAUCCAGUAUAUGAUAAGAUUUCUUUUUUUUUUUUCUCUGACUGUUAGUUUUAUUACUGUUGUUGUUAUUAUUUUAAUAUUAAGCUCUGUUGUUGCUGUCUUUUUUUUCUACAGCUGUGUGAAUGCUGGAGUGUACAGUAUGUUUAUCUUCUUGAUUCAUGCUUUCUGUACAGUGCAAUCAAACAAAACCUCAAAAACUGGGUCAUAAGUAAUUAUAAUAUUAAAAAAUAUUUUUAAAUGAUAAUUAAGCACAUUUUCCCCAAGAAUUUUCAUUACUGUAAUGCAAAAAAUAAUUAAAAUCAUUAAAAGGUUUUGUUGUGGUAAUCAACAUUAAACUGUUUUUUUUUUUUUUUAUGGCAAAUGACAAUUUUGAUGUCUCUCUUUUUUUUUCUUCAGUUUGAAGAUGAAAUUUGGCCUGGACAUGUUAUGUUUCUGGUUGAAUAAAACAUAAUUUAAAUUAUACUAGCAGUCAUAUUUCCAGCAUAUAUCAAUCCGAUCAUAUCUGAUCAAAUGUCUGCUCCUCAGCAACUGUGUGCCGGUUCAUUUACAGUAGAUUCACUUUUCAGUGUUGCUUCUUUGUUUUUGUUUUUCAGUGCAGCACUGAACUGUUGUCGUUUUUCAUAAUAAUUAUGAAACACAUUUUUGUACUUUUAUUUCCUGUAUGUUUCAUGACACUGACAGCAAAUAAACUUGAAAAACCUUGUUCCAUCCAAAA